UCUUACCUAAACAGGUGCUGGGUACAUU
Molecule: non-coding RNA, 28 nt
Filed under: Rattus norvegicus (Norway rat)
Lineage: Eukaryota; Metazoa; Chordata; Mammalia; Rodentia; Muridae
Source: RNAcentral